Molecule: non-coding RNA, 69 nt
Organism: Streptosporangium subroseum
Lineage: Bacteria; Bacillati; Actinomycetota; Actinomycetes; Streptosporangiales; Streptosporangiaceae
Rfam family: ASpks TB sRNA
Source: Rfam
CUUGAUCGACCCGAGCCAGAGCGGAGUCUCCCGGUCCUGGCCGUAGGCGGCCAGCAGCGCCUGCGCCUC